This is a long non-coding RNA of Mus musculus (house mouse), 6573 nucleotides long. RefSeq annotates it as predicted gene, 57768. The transcript is spliced from 2 exons. The record is from RefSeq and is a predicted model, not a curated record. NCBI's taxonomy places the organism in Eukaryota, Metazoa, Chordata, Mammalia, Rodentia, Muridae.
GAUUAAAAACAAACCUCUCACGCUAAGCUACCCACACACACCUGAGAUGCGGGAGCCAGUCUUCAAUUACCAGGAACAGUGACCACAUUUCAGGUUCACUCAAGAUCCCUGUGCCCGCCCACUGCUUCCUUGUGGUCUCUGGAGUCUCGCAGGAUUCUUUAUCUCCAGCCCAGCGCAGUGGGCUUGGCCACGUGAUCUGGCAUGGCCUACGGCAUGUGAACCAGCACGUUUCCUCUGGCUCUGUCUUCCCUCAGCCACCAACCCAGCACGUCUCAAAUAGGGGCCGUUCCUCUGGCCUAGAUCUCAGAACACAAAGACACAGAGCUCAGGAAUAGGUCUGAGGCCCAUUUGCCCCAGAUACAGAAUAUGGACGAGAAAUAAACUGUUCUUGCAAGCCCCGAGACUGGGGGGGUGGUGGGGGGGAGGGGUCUGUUGACCUCAGAACGGCUGGCUAAAACAGAAAUUAUUGUUUUAUUUUUGUUGUUUUUUUGUUUUGCUUUGCUUUGCUUAUUGGAUCAAAUUGUGACUUCAAUCAAAGAGAGUCCAGAAAAUUUUUCUCAAAAAAAAAAAAAAAAAAGUCAGUAGAUAAAAAUGGCAAGUCUCCACAAUAGAUUUCUCACUACAGGUUAAAGCUGGCCUACCAGUGACAAAGACCUCGUGGACACCUAGUGGAUGUAAUCGAGAGAGCUGUUUUUUCUCCUCCAUCUGCUGACUGUGUCCUUUGACUAAACUUCCCAGACAGCAAGGAGCCCCUGUGCCUGGCUAAUUCACCCUUCCCAGCUCCCUCCUAAGCAGCCAGAAUUUACCUUAGCCAAGCCCUACGAUCCAGUAAAACAAGCAGUUUCUCAUUUUAAAGGGAAUUCCUUAAUGCAAAUUUCUUUGUAGUUUACUCCCAGGCUUGCUGAUUCUCUUCUUUCCUGCUCUUUGUGGGGAGGGAAUGGCUUUUAGAAAACUAGCUUAUGAGAAUCAUCAACUGUCACAUGGAAACCUUUCUGAACACAUCAGAGGGGAUUUUUAUCUCCUCUCUCGGUCCAAAGCACUGUGGUCUUUCCCAGUGGUGCUCAGUACGGGGCCACUGUCAUUAACCUCUCUUGGUGUCAUGAGCUGGUCCAACCUGCUAGUGGGAGAAGUCAAAGUGGGGAAACCAGAGAGAAGUCAGCACAUAACAAUGUCUUGUCAUGUGACACACCAGGGAAACAGGAGAGAGGGGUGUUUGGAGACAGAAGAGUGAGUGUGCAUGAGAGGCAGGGGCAUCACUUGGGCGAUCAGGUAAGAGACACCUGAGGAGCGCAGUCACGGUGAGGCCUGAAGGACAGAGACUGUGUAAUGCGUGAGAUGUGCUCAUGGAAAGCCCUGAUGGGGAAGAGAUGAGAGCAUUUCAGUUGCUCAGUGAAGCAAUGUGAUGUUUCUCUUGUUCUCAACAGUUCAGUGAAAGAAAGAGAAACACGAGACUGAGUUUGUCUUCCUUAGGGUUCUAUUGCUGUGUAGAGACACCAUGACUAAGGCAACUCUUAAACUCUUUUAAUUGGCUUAUAAUUUCAGAGGUUUAGUCCAGUAUCAUCAUGGUGGGAAGCGUGGCAGCGUCCAGGCGACAUGACGCAGGAGGAGCUGAGAGUUCUAUAUCAUCAUCUGCAGGUAGCAGAAGGAGACUGAGUACCACACUGGGUGUGGCUUAAGCAUAUAUGAUCUCAAAGCCCGCCUCUACUAUGACACACUUCUCCAAUGAGGCCACACCUCCUAAUAGUGCCGCUCGCUACGGUGGAGCAUUCAAACACAGGAGUCUAAGCUGUUCCUUCCUAUUCAAACCACCACGGAGUUGAAGAGCAAACAAACCCAGACCUCAGGGAGCUUUAGAGGUUUUGAUCUUAUUCUGAGAGGAAUAAGAAGACAUGGAAGGAUUUUAAGGAAGGAAGUGGUGUGCUCUGUUCUGCAAAUGAUCAAAGAUAUGUGGGAUGGAAGAAAUGGAGAGAGAGAGAGAGAGAGAGAGAGAGAGAGAGGAAGCAGACAGAGGAAAUGUCUGAAAGGGAGAAGAGGUGAGAGUGUGAAGAGGAAGUGGAAACAUAGGAGGCACAUCCUGGAGUAAAAAUGAAUGAGCCAGCGGGUGGAAGCUGGGUGUGGUGGGAAACCAUGAAGGAAGGCUAAUACAUCUGUCCUGCAGGACGAAGGUGCUGAUGCAGUCUAGAGAGAGGGAGAGAACUGGAGGAAGAUCCUGGCAAAGCAUGAAGGCAGAGAUGCUACUGUGUACAAUAAAUCUAAGACACCUGGGAGAUAACUAGCCCAAAAUGUCAGGGGUGCAGUUGGACGUGCAGGGCUGUGAGUUCCAGGAGCCCGGGGGAAACGGUAAACUUGGGAAUGGUCACCUUUAGGUGAGGAGAACAUUCUCACGGGAAGAUGGCACUGCACAAUGUCAAAGCCAGGGAGCAAGGAAGUACUGUGAAAGAAAGGGUGGUGUAAAAAAUAUAGAAGCAGAUAGAGAUAAUAGAAAAGAGCUUUUGCGAAGAUGGUUGUGAAAGCAAUGAAGGAAGCUCCUGCCCUCCCAAAGCUGAAGCAAGGGAGAAGGCCUUGAAAGCCAAGAAGGCACUGUCACAAAAUGAAGAUCCUCACACAUCACCAGUCUUCAGGUGGCCCAAGACUCCAUCUCCAGAUGCAGCUGAAGUCCCCUCUGAAGCGCUCGCCCAGGAGAAACAAGCAUGAGCACUAUGCCUUCAUCCAGUUCCCCUGACCACAGAGCCAGCCAUGAGGAAGACAGAGAUAACAGCAUGCUUGUGUUCACUGUGGAUGUCAAGGCCAGCAAGCACCACACAGGCCGUGAUGAAGCUCUGUGGCGCUGAUGUGGCCAAAGUCAUCACCUCGAUGAGGUCUGAUGGAGAGAAGGGCGAAUGAUCAGCUGCAUCCUGAUUAUGAAGUGUUGGCUAUUGCCAACAAAAUUGGGAUUAUCUAAACAGAGUCUAACAAAAGGAGAAAAGGAGAAGGAGGAGGAGAAGAGGAAGUAGAAGUACAAGGAGGAGAGGAGGAAGAGAAGAUGGAGAAGGAGGAGAAGAAAAAGGAGGAAAGGAAAAAGAAGGAGGAGAAGGAGGGGAAGAGAAGGAAGAGGAAGAAGGAGAAGAAGAAGAAAAAGAGGAAGAAGAGGAAGGUGGAGGAGGAGGAGGAGGAAGAGGAGGAGGAGAAGGAGAAGGAGGAGAAGAAGAAGAAGAAGAAGAAGAAGAAGAAGAAGAAGAAGAAUGUUGUUGUUGGUAGUGGUAGUAGUAGUCGCCGCUGCCACUCAAGUAGCCAAAAAUAUUUAUUACAAAAAUAAGAAGAGUAAUUUCAGUGGAACUCAGCAGUCACUAUCUUGAGCAAGGGUCCAAGGUCAACACUGUCAACAGUACGAUGAAUCACAAUCCUCCGUCACCUGAUGCACACACUGAGAACACAAAGAGGACACAGUGAUGAACUCAAUUGCCUCUCGUGAACUGAACCACUGGAAGAGACACAUCUGUAAAGUGAUUCCAUCUGACAAAAAAACCUGACCUGUAGUCCACAGAGGCGUCAGGAUCAUGGAUGGACUGAAGCCACACUCACCAGCAAGCAUGGAUCUUACAGACGGUGGUGAAUGGAUACUGAGACAGUGGAGCUGGGGCAGAGAGUCAUGGCCCGAUGUUAGGCUCUAACACCCGUGUUGGGGCAUCCAGGGCACGUCACACACUCCUGCUACAGCCACUCCAUGAGGGCUCAGCUCUGCCAUUUAUUAAGAUACAUACGCCAUAUGCAAUUUAGAAGUUACUGAAUUGCUGAUUAGUUGUUUACAUGUCUUGAGUGCUGACUGUGUACUGGGUACUGUGUUGGCCAUUGUAGACACACUUGAUCCUUCUGAAACAUCCACAGCCUGUGGAGCAGGGACCAGUCCAAUUCCCUCCAUGUUUCCCCAUGUGUAAACUCAAGCAUCAUGGCUUAUUCAAGCCGACGGCCAACAAACGGGAACACGUUUUCAUCUAGGCCAUCUCCAGAACUUGCUCAUUUAGUGUCCAAACUCAGCUCUCCAGCACUGCUUUCCCAAAUACGUUGUUAGAAUUUGGGGUGUGUGAGGGUUUCUCUGUGAUUUCCCACAGUACUUAGUACAGCCCUUUAGAAAUCAACUCUUCUUCUAUUUUCCCUCUUGAUUUACUUAUUUUUAUUUUAUUACAUUAUUGUUUUCCCUGCAUUUAUGUCUGUAUGAGGGUGUUGAACGCCCUGGAGCUGGAGUUACAGAUGGUCUGUGAGCUGCCAUGUGGGUGGCUGGGAAUUGAACACAGGUCCUUCAGAAGAGCAGUCAGUUCUCUUAACUGCUGAGCCGUCUCUCACCUUUAAUUUCUCACCCUUACUCACUUUUAAUAGAACCAUCCAAUGUGUACCACACUGAUUUUUUUUCUUUUUUAGUCUUUCAAUCCUGUAGAGACUCAGUUUUUAGUUAUAAGAAAAAGGUCUUCAAAAAGACAUUUGAACUAGAAAAAUUCAUGGCAGAUCCAAAGCUGAGAGACUUAUAUCAAGAAUACCACAGCAAUCUGGAGUAGAGUAAGAGGGUCACUCGCUUAGGCACAGCCUACCUGGAUUAUAUCUAACCACUAACAUACAAAAGUCUCAAAAAUCCAGGCUUAGGUCUGACUCUCCCCAGCCAGUUUGCAUGCGCUGUACUCAAUAGGCACUGUAACUUCAGAGUUAGGUUUCUUUCUCUACAUCUUAUUUUACUCAAGUGUCAUUUCAUUUAUUUUCCAAUUUUCGGGGUUUUUAACUUGCAAAUAAACAAAGGUAGAACAUUUAAGAGCAACUGUAUGAACCUGUGGGGGAAAAAGAAAGAAAGAAAGAAAGAAAGAAAGGAAGGAAGGAAGGAAGGAAGGAAGGAAGAAAGAAAGAGAGAAAGAGAGAAAGAAAGGAAGGAAGGAAAAGCUGAUUUUUUUUCUCCCCUAUCUGGUGUUUACCAACCUCAAACUGUAAGUUUUGAGGAGAUUAGGAAUUUUGUCUUUCUCUUGAAAACCUAGAGCUUCAUCAUACUGAGAUACAGUACCAUACAGCAUUAGACUUCUCCUCUUUAAUGUUAACCAGGUGUAUGGUGCACAGAAAAUAGAGCCGAGGUCAGUAAGCAGAACCCAGCAGAAGCUAAUAACCCUGCCGCAGAAUACUGAAAGAAGAUGGUCACGAGUCUCAGUGUUUCCUUCUGGCCAUGAACAGGAAAUCCAUGUUUAAGUGUAGUGAAUAGGAUUUGAAGCCAGGGCGGUAGCAAUGUGUGAAGCUAUAGCAUUUGCCUAGCACCCGUGAAGCACUGGGCCUGAUCAUCAGCACUGCAAAAGAAAAAAAAAAAAAGAGUCUAAAGAUAAAUAUUCCUACAGUUGAAACUGCACAUCAGAACCUGCUCAGUUCAGGAAGAUGAAACAGAAAAUAAAAAAAUAACAUGAAGUCACAAGAAAGAAAAAAAAAACAGGAAAAAAAAAGACAACGUCUAAUAAAUAUUAAAUGAUGUUCAACACAACUGCCUGUUAGGAAAGUGUGAAUCAAAAGCAUGAAAUACCACUUCACAUCAACUGGGAUAGUGUAUUGGUUUUCCUGAGCCUGCCCCUAUAAAAAUGUCACAGACUUGGUGCCUUAAAUGUCAGCCACAGCUGUGGAAGCUGGAAGUGCAAGACCAAGUCAUGAGCAGGCUUUGGUUGUCCUAAGACUUUUCUCACUGGCUUGUAGAUGACCGGCAUCUUGGCUUGUCUUCAUAUGUCCUUAUUCCUAUUCCUGUGCACGAUGCUGGAUCUUUAAGAGUGUUUUUAAGAACACUGUCUUGGUGGAUUAGGGCCCAUCCUUAUGAUCUUGUUUAAUCUUAACGUCCUGUAAGGUUCCAUCUCUAAACACUCAUGGGGAAUCAUAGACAAAUUUAUUUUACAAUAUGAGCUUUUAGGGAGUCACAUUUAAGUACGCAACAGAUGACAGUAGCAAGAGUUGUGAAGAUGUGGAAGAGAAUGGUCCUUGUGGUCUGCUCUCACACUGCUGGCGGGGCUGUGAAAUGGAUGAUACAAACACUCUGGAAAGCCAGCCGUCUCAGCAUCCCAGAAGGUAAAGCCCAGCAUAACAACUUCUGUAUCCGCCUUCCACUCGGAAGAAGUUGCCAUGGAGAAGUGACUGAUGCAGACAGCCGAGAGCAAGUGCAGGAGGAGCACAGGAUGAUUAGAAUAGACAUGGGGUCUGAUACAUGUGUGGAUGAGGUUGAGUUACGCAUAAAACUUUGAAACUAUGUAUGGAAGAUAGAUCAACUUUCAUAAAAAAAAAAAACAUAAAACACAAAAGAUUCCUCAGAAACAGAAAACAGAAUAGUCUAGUAGCCGGAAAAAAAAUACAAAGUACUAAAGAAUAUGAUUAAACACUCCAGAGUCAGUCAAAAUCAACUACGCCUUCCUGGGACACAGGGCUUCCUAAUCCCCAGGCAUCCAUGCAGACACCAUGUUCUGACCAUUGUCACCCUCUCCUGUCUCCCACAACUCAACCAGUGCCCUAGCUCCAGCCUUGCCUUCCUUUCUAGCAAUGAGUGAGAUCCCUCUAAUAAAGAAAUAGAGUCUUGGCUCUUCCCUGCUUAAACUC